Molecule: transfer RNA, 90 nt
Filed under: Halomonas sp. LES1
Lineage: Bacteria; Pseudomonadati; Pseudomonadota; Gammaproteobacteria; Oceanospirillales; Halomonadaceae
Also listed under: 2 other names
Description: tRNA-Ser
Rfam family: tRNA
About the family: Transfer RNA (tRNA) molecules are approximately 80 nucleotides in length. Their secondary structure includes four short double-helical elements and three loops (D, anti-codon, and T loops). Further hydrogen bonds mediate the characteristic L-shaped molecular structure. tRNAs have two regions of fundamental functional importance: the anti-codon, which is responsible for specific mRNA codon recognition, and the 3' end, to which the tRNAs corresponding amino acid is attached (by aminoacyl-tRNA synthetases). tRNAs cope with the degeneracy of the genetic code in two manners: having more than one tRNA (with a specific anti-codon) for a particular amino acid; and 'wobble' base-pairing, i.e. permitting non-standard base-pairing at the 3rd anti-codon position.
Source: RNAcentral
GGAGGGAUGGCAGAGUGGUUGAAUGCACCGGUCUUGAAAACCGGCGUAGGUGAGAGCCUACCCAGGGUUCGAAUCCCUGUCCCUCCGCCA